This 715-nucleotide long non-coding RNA is filed under the name Equus caballus (horse). Its description in RNAcentral is "lncRNA (ENSECAG00000050127.1)". The record is from RNAcentral. Lineage: Eukaryota; Metazoa; Chordata; Mammalia; Perissodactyla; Equidae.
ACUUUUCACCUUUUGUCCUGGACUAGGAACUUGAGGAAUCUUCUCCUUCUAUCCUGCUCUCUCUUCCCCCAAUUUGGCAUCACAAAACCAUAAAAAAAACAGACUCUGUGAUUGCCUCAAGAAACUAGAAAACCCAAGGAAAUCAAGAGACGAAUACUAUAAUUAUUAAGAGUAACAGAAGAGUUACACCAAUUAAUGGCCUUCAUAUACUGGGAACAAGCAUUGAUUUCUAUUUUCCACAAUGGAAUGGGUUCAUAGAUUGUCUUCACUUCAUAUAAAGAAUAAUGUAUUUCUAUGAUGAAAUAAACAAAACAUUGAAGUUUGAAAGAAAAUGCUAACAUAUUUCAGCACAUUUGUGACAUACCUGCAAUGUACCUGGAAGCAUAUGGAAGCAUGUGAAAGAUCUAGCACAAGUGGGUUAUCAUCACGUAUUUUCCCCUUAAAGCACUUUUUGUUUUUCCCUAUUUUCCUUCACUCCUCCAAUCCUCGACCACUUCACCUGCUCCUCUCCCCUCAAUUCGUAUCUGCAAGGUGACCAGUGUUAACAACCUCGUGUGUAUUUCUUUUUUCUACAUUCUCUUUUCUCUGGUUUCAUGUUAUAGUGCACAGAAAAUACACACACACACAUACGCCUGUGUGAACAUAGUUCUUUGCCACUAUUUACUUAAUCAAAAAGGAAAGAUCAAAUAGGCCUGUCCAGCUCUCUUUUCUCACU